Transfer RNA from Camelus ferus (Wild Bactrian camel), 71 nucleotides. It matches the Rfam family "tRNA". From Rfam's summary of the family: Transfer RNA (tRNA) molecules are approximately 80 nucleotides in length. Their secondary structure includes four short double-helical elements and three loops (D, anti-codon, and T loops). Further hydrogen bonds mediate the characteristic L-shaped molecular structure. tRNAs have two regions of fundamental functional importance: the anti-codon, which is responsible for specific mRNA codon recognition, and the 3' end, to which the tRNAs corresponding amino acid is attached (by aminoacyl-tRNA synthetases). tRNAs cope with the degeneracy of the genetic code in two manners: having more than one tRNA (with a specific anti-codon) for a particular amino acid; and 'wobble' base-pairing, i.e. permitting non-standard base-pairing at the 3rd anti-codon position. Lineage: Eukaryota; Metazoa; Chordata; Mammalia; Artiodactyla; Camelidae. The record is from Rfam.
GAGGGCAUAGCUCAGUGGUAGAGUGCAUGCCUAGCAUACAUGAGGUCCUGGUUCAAUCCCCAGUACCUCCA